UGUACUUUAUAUAUAACAAAUUAUUUUAAUUUGUUGAGCAUCAGGAUGAAUAUUAAAGGGUGAUGCUGCCAACAAGGUAUAUUUAUGUAUGCUCCAUUGCAUUUUUAGUACCAUUUUGACUAUAUUUCUGUAUUUAAGGUUCUUUUAUUUAACAUUUAUUAGCACGCUGUUCUCAUGGAGUAGUGCUUAUUGCACACCCAAACAUCUUAUUUCUUCCCAUUUUGUUGCAAGACUGCUAUGUGCAUUCAACCCACCAUCUCUUAAGAUAAAAGCUCCUAUUAUUAAAGGACAUCAACUACCACCUUGAAAUAUUCUUGAUUCACACUAUAAAGGGUUGCACUUGAAAAUUCAUUGUUAGAAAUUUGGUAAUUAUUGGCAAAAAUAUACAAUAAUUAUGUAUCAUUGAUCCUGCUCUUUCUUCUCUCUUUCUAUCUUCACACACACACUCUCUCUCUCUCUCUAUUUUCUGCCAAAGUGUUCUAUUGCAAUCUAUUCUUUAAACAGCUAGUUGCGUUGACUUGAGAACCAAUUCAUCAAAAUAUUGAAGGACGGAGAAAAAUCUUGAACCCAGAUUGUGUAUUUCUGUUAUUCUAAAUGUAUUUUCGCCUUGACUUUAGCAGGCAGGCUCACAGCUUGCUGGUUGGUGAAUAGACACCAGAUUAAUUACUCUUGCAUUCAUUAAUUAAUGGCUAAGGUUCUAACUUACCUAAUUAAUGAAUUACCCAAUUUUUACGGAGGUGUUUGCUUUUUUAAAGCUUCACAUAGCGAGGUGAUGCACAGAAAUUCUUUCUCCAAAAAUGAAAAACAUAUUUUUAUGUGUGAUGUUUGGAUGGGGAGAAAGACUUUGAGUAUUAUUUUAUUUGAAACAUAGGAUGCUUCGAAUGGUG
Non-coding RNA from Pelobates cultripes (western spadefoot toad), 887 nucleotides. The record is from the annotation of a GenBank genome assembly. NCBI's taxonomy places the organism in Eukaryota, Metazoa, Chordata, Amphibia, Anura, Pelobatidae.